GACUAACGCUGGCGGCGUGCUUAACACAUGCAUGUCGAACUGAAAGGCCCUGCUUUUUUGCGGUACUCGAUUGGCGAACUGGUUAGUAACACGUUAGUAACCUGCCCUUGACUUUGUGAUAACUUCAGGGAACUUGCGCUAAUACCGGAUAGGAGCUCCUGCUGCAUGGUGUGGUCUGGAAACUUUCGGCGGUUGGGGAUGGACUCGCGGCUUAUCAGCUUGUUGGUGGGGUAGUGGCUUACCAAGGCUUUGACGGGUAGCCGGCCUGAGAGGGUGACCGGCCACGUGGGGACUGAGAUAGGGCCCGGAGUACUAGGGGAGGCAGCAGUGGGGAGUAUUGCGCAAGGGGCGGAAGCAUGAAACAGACACGCCGCGUGCGAGAUGGCGGCCUUCGGGUUGUAAACCGCUUUCGGCUGUGACGAAGCGUGAGUGACGGUACUGGGUAGAGAAGCACCGGCUAACUACGGG
This 468-nucleotide ribosomal RNA is filed under the name uncultured bacterium. Its description in RNAcentral is "partial 16S ribosomal RNA". It matches the Rfam family "Bacterial small subunit ribosomal RNA", at positions 28 to 507 of the family's 1533-position model. The record is from RNAcentral.